RNAcentral lists this ribosomal RNA (254 nucleotides) under uncultured bacterium. RNAcentral's name for it is "partial 16S ribosomal RNA". It matches the Rfam family "Bacterial small subunit ribosomal RNA", at positions 524 to 776 of the family's 1533-position model. The record is from RNAcentral.
UACAGAGGGUGCGAGCGUUGUCCGGAAUCACUGGGCGUAAAGCGCGCGCAGGCGGCUCUUUAAGUCUGACGGUGAAAUGCCGGGGCUCAACCCCGUGCCCGCCGCGGAUACUGGAGGGCUGGAGACACGUAGAGGCAAGCGGAAUUCCGGGUGUAGCGGUGGAAUGCGUAGAGAUCCGGAAGAACACCGGAGGCGAAGGCGGCUUGCUGGGCGUAGUCUGACGCUGAGGCGCGAAAGCGUGGGGAGCGAACAGG